UGGGCUCCACAGGUGUUCAAUUGUGGUGCGCCUGACACUGGAAAUAUGGAGGUAUUGCUGCGAUAUGGGAACAAAGAACAACUACUCAAAUGGCUUAUACCAAUUCUUGAGGGAAGGAUUCGUUCUGGAUUUGCAAUGACGGAACCACAAGUUGCAUCAGCUGAUGCUACAAAUAUUGAGUGUUCUAUUAGAAGGCAAGGGGAUUCCUAUAUCAUCAAUGGGAACAAGUGGUGGACGAGUGGAGCUAUGGAUCCAAGGUGUAGACUUCUUAUAGUAAUGGGAAAAACUGACUUCACCACUGCUAAGCAUAAGCAGCAAUCCAUGAUCUUGGUGGAUAUUCAGACUCCAGGCAUACACAUAGAGAGACCACUCAUGGUCUUUGGCUUUGAUGAUGCACCUCAUGGUCAUGCUGAAAUUUCAUUUGAAAAUGUACGUGUGCCUGCAAAAAAUAUCCUCCUGGGAGAAGGACGUGGAUUUGAGAUUGCUCAGGGUAGACUGGGCCCGGGAAGAUUGCAUCAUUGCAUGAGAUUGAUAGGUGCUGCUGAGCGUGGAAUGCAAUUGAUGGUUGAAAGGGCUCUCAGUAGAAGAGCAUUUGGAAAAUUGAUUUCUGAACAUGGUUCAUUUCGUUCAGACAUUGCCAA
This 641-nucleotide unclassified non-coding RNA is filed under the name Hevea brasiliensis (rubber tree). The record is from RNAcentral. Lineage: Eukaryota; Viridiplantae; Streptophyta; Magnoliopsida; Malpighiales; Euphorbiaceae.